RNAcentral lists this ribosomal RNA (2191 nucleotides) under Listeria monocytogenes. RNAcentral's name for it is "partial 23S ribosomal RNA". It matches the Rfam family "Bacterial large subunit ribosomal RNA", at positions 1 to 2182 of the family's 2925-position model. Lineage: Bacteria; Bacillati; Bacillota; Bacilli; Caryophanales; Listeriaceae. The record is from RNAcentral.
UUGGUUAAGUUAGAAAGGGCGCACGGUGGAUGCCUUGGCACUAGGAGCCGAAGAAGGACGGGACUAACACCGAUAUGCUUUGGGGAGCUGUACGUAAGCGUUGAUCCAGAGAUUUCCGAAUGGGGGAACCCACUAUCUUUAGUCGGAUAGUAUCCUUACGUGAAUACAUAGCGUGAGGAAGGCAGACCCAGGGAACUGAAACAUCUAAGUACCUGGAGGAAGAGAAAGAAAAAUCGAUUUCCUGAGUAGCGGCGAGCGAAACGGAAAGAGCCCAAACCAAGAAGCUUGCUUCUUGGGGUUGUAGGACACUCUAUACGGAGUUACAAAAGAAAGUUAUAAAUGAAGCGGUCUGGAAAGGCCCGCCAAAGACGGUAACAGCCCGGUAGUUGAAAUGGCUUUCCCUCCAGAGUGGAUCCUGAGUACGGCGGAACACGUGAAAUUCCGUCGGAAUCCGGGAGGACCAUCUCCCAAGGCUAAAUACUCCCUAGUGACCGAUAGUGAACCAGUACCGUGAGGGAAAGGUGAAAAGCACCCCGGAAGGGGAGUGAAACAGUUCCUGAAACCGUGUGCCUACAAGUAGUUAGAGCCCGUUAAUGGGUGAUAGCGUGCCUUUUGUAGAAUGAACCGGCGAGUUACGAUUUGUUGCAAGGUUAAGCGGAAAAAGCGGAGCCGUAGCGAAAGCGAGUCUGAAUAGGGCGCAUAAGUAACAGGUCGUAGACCCGAAACCAGGUGAUCUACCCAUGUCCAGGAUGAAGGUAAGGUAAUACUUACUGGAGGUCCGAACCCACGCACGUUGAAAAGUGCGGGGAUGAGGUGUGGGUAGCGGAGAAAUUCCAAUCGAACUUGGAGAUAGCUGGUUCUCUCCGAAAUAGCUUUAGGGCUAGCCUCGAGGUAAAGAGUCAUGGAGGUAGAGCACUGUUUGGACUAGGGGCCCUUCUCGGGUUACCGAAUUCAGAUAAACUCCGAAUGCCAUGUACUUAUACUCGGGAGUCAGACUGCGAGUGAUAAGAUCCGUAGUCGAAAGGGAAACAGCCCAGACCACCAGUUAAGGUCCCCAAAUAUAUGUUAAGUGGAAAAGGAUGUGGGGUUGCUUAGACAACCAGGAUGUUGGCUUAGAAGCAGCCACCAUUGAAAGAGUGCGUAAUAGCUCACUGGUCGAGUGACCCCGCGCCGAAAAUGUACCGGGGCUAAACAUAUUACCGAAACUGUGGAUGAACCUCUUUAGAGGUUCGUGGUAGGAGAGCGUUCUAAGGGCGGUGAAGUCAGACCGGAAGGACUGGUGGAGCGCUUAGAAGUGAGAAUGCCGGUAUGAGUAGCGAAAGAAGGGUGAGAAUCCCUUCCACCGAAUAUCUAAGGUUUCCUGAGGAAGGCUCGUCCGCUCAGGGUUAGUCGGGACCUAAGCCGAGGCCGAUAGGCGUAGGCGAUGGACAACAGGUAGAGAUUCCUGUACCAGUGCUAAUUGUUUAACCGAUGGGGUGACACAGAAGGAUAGGGAAUCGCACGAAUGGAAAUGUGCGUCCAAGCAGUGAGUGUGAGAAGUAGGCAAAUCCGCUUCUCGCGAAGCAUGAGCUGUGAUGGGGAAGGAAAUUAAGUACGGAAGUUCCUGAUUUCACGCUGUCAAGAAAAGCCUCUAGGAAGAGUAGUACUGCCCGUACCGCAAACCGACACAGGUAGAUGAGGAGAGAAUCCUAAGGUGAGCGAGAGAACUCUCGUUAAGGAACUCGGCAAAAUGACCCCGUAACUUCGGGAGAAGGGGUGCUCUAUUAGGGUGCAAGCCCGAGAGAGCCGCAGUGAAUAGGCCCAGGCGACUGUUUAGCAAAAACACAGGUCUCUGCAAAACCGUAAGGUGACGUAUAGGGGCUGACGCCUGCCCGGUGCUGGAAGGUUAAGAGGAGUGCUUAGCUUCGGCGAAGGUACGAAUUGAAGCCCCAGUAAACGGCGGCCGUAACUAUAACGGUCCUAAGGUAGCGAAAUUCCUUGUCGGGUAAGUUCCGACCCGCACGAAAGGCGCAACGAUCUGGGCACUGUCUCAACGAGAGACUCGGUGAAAUUAUAGUACCUGUGAAGAUGCAGGUUACCCGCGACAGGACGGAAAGACCCCGUGGAGCUUUACUGCAACCUGAUAUGGAAUGUUUGUACCGCUUGUACAGGAUAGGUAGGAGCCGAAGAGACGUGUGCGCUAGCAUACGAG